Molecule: non-coding RNA, 134 nt
Organism: Triticum aestivum (bread wheat)
Lineage: Eukaryota; Viridiplantae; Streptophyta; Magnoliopsida; Poales; Poaceae
Source: Rfam
AAUGUACUCCCUCCGUCCCAAAAUUCGUGUCUUAGAUUUCUCUAGAUACGGAUGUAUCAAGUCACAUUUUAGUAUUAGAUACAUCCGUACUAGACAAAUCUAAGACAAGAAAUUUGGAAUAGAGGGAGUAGUUG